RNAcentral lists this transfer RNA (72 nucleotides) under Ictidomys tridecemlineatus (thirteen-lined ground squirrel). Its description in RNAcentral is "Spermophilus tridecemlineatus (thirteen-lined ground squirrel) tRNA". It matches the Rfam family "tRNA". Rfam says of the family: Transfer RNA (tRNA) molecules are approximately 80 nucleotides in length. Their secondary structure includes four short double-helical elements and three loops (D, anti-codon, and T loops). The record is from Rfam by way of RNAcentral. Lineage: Eukaryota; Metazoa; Chordata; Mammalia; Rodentia; Sciuridae.
CGGACUAUAGCUCAGUGAUAAAGCAUUUGCCUAGCAUGCAUGAGACCCUGGGUUUAAUUCCCAGUUCUGCAA